Molecule: ribosomal RNA, 253 nt
Filed under: uncultured bacterium
Lineage: Bacteria
Description: partial 16S ribosomal RNA
Rfam family: Bacterial small subunit ribosomal RNA
Source: RNAcentral
UACGUAAGGGGCAAGCGUUGUCCGGAAUCACUGGGCGUAAAGCGCACGUAGGCGGUUUGUCAAGUUGGGGGUGUAAGCUCUAGGCCUAACCUAGAAAUUGCCUCCAAAACUAGCAUACUUGAGUAUUAGAGGGGAAGCUGGAAUUCACGGUGUAGCGGUGAAAUGCGUAGAUAUCGUGGAGAACACCGGUGGCGAAGGCGGCAUCCUGGACCGGCAUUGACGCUGAGGCGCGAAAGCCAGGGGAGCAAACGGG